Molecule: ribosomal RNA, 22 nt
Filed under: Trichoderma atroviride
Lineage: Eukaryota; Fungi; Ascomycota; Sordariomycetes; Hypocreales; Hypocreaceae
Description: partial 18S ribosomal RNA
Source: RNAcentral
GCGUUGGGUAGCGGAGGACAUU